RNAcentral lists this ribosomal RNA (525 nucleotides) under uncultured Aquimarina sp. Its description in RNAcentral is "bacterial SSU rRNA". It matches the Rfam family "Bacterial small subunit ribosomal RNA", at positions 392 to 917 of the family's 1533-position model. Lineage: Bacteria; Pseudomonadati; Bacteroidota; Flavobacteriia; Flavobacteriales; Flavobacteriaceae. The record is from RNAcentral.
GGAUGCCGCGUGUAGGAAGACUGCCCUAUGGGUUGUAAACUACUUUUAUAGAGGAAGAAACAGUAUUACGUGUAAUACUCUGACGGUACUCUACGAAUAAGGAUCGGCUAACUCCGUGCCAGCAGCCGCGGUAAUACGGAGGAUCCAAGCGUUAUCCGGAAUCAUUGGGUUUAAAGGGUCCGUAGGCGGGUUUGUAAGUCAGUGGUGAAAGUUUUCGGCUCAACCGGAAAAUUGCCAUUGAUACUGCAAGUCUUGAAUUAUUGUGAAGUGGUUAGAAUAUGUAGUGUAGCGGUGAAAUGCAUAGAUAUUACAUAGAAUACCGAUUGCGAAGGCAGAUCACUAACAAUAUAUUGACGCUAAGGGACGAAAGCGUGGGUAGCGAACAGGAUUAGAUACCCUGGUAGUCCACGCCGUAAACGAUGGUUACUAGCUGUUCGGAUUUCGAUCUGAGUGGCUAAGCGAAAGUGAUAAGUAACCCACCUGGGGAGUACGUUCGCAAGAAUGAAACUCAAAGGAAUUGACGGA